UACGAAGGGGGCUAGCGUUGUUCGGAAUCACUGGGCGUAAAGGGCGCGUAGGCGGCUUUAUAAGUCGGGGGUGAAAGCCUGUGGCUCAACCACAGAAUUGCCUUCGAUACUGUAGAGCUUGAGACCGGAAGAGGUAAGUGGAACUGCGAGUGUAGAGGUGAAAUUCGUAGAUAUUCGCAAGAACACCAGUGGCGAAGGCGGCUUACUGGUCCGGUUCUGACGCUGAUGCGCGAAAGCCAGGGGAGCAAACAGG
This 253-nucleotide ribosomal RNA is filed under the name uncultured bacterium. RNAcentral's name for it is "partial 16S ribosomal RNA". It matches the Rfam family "Bacterial small subunit ribosomal RNA", at positions 524 to 776 of the family's 1533-position model. The record is from RNAcentral.